GAUGAACGCUGGCGGCGUGCUUAACACAUGCAAGUCGAACGAAGCAUUUAGAACAGAUUAUUUCGGUAUGAAGUUCUUUAUGACUGAGUGGCGGACGGGUGAGGAACGCGUGGGUAACCUGCCUUGUACUGGGGGCUAGCAGCUGGAAACGGCUGGUAAUACCGAAUACGCGAACAAUGUUGCAUGACAGGGUGUGAAAAACUCCGGUGGUAUAAGAUGGACCCGCGUCUGAUUAGCUAGUUGGUGAGAUAACAGCCCACCAAGGCGACGACCAGUAGCCGACCUGAGAGGGUGACCGGCCACAUUGGGACUGAGACACGGCCCAGACUCCUACGGGAGGCAGCAGUGGGGAAUAUUGCACAAUGGAGGAAACUCUGAUGCAGAGACGCCGCGUGAGUGAAGAAGUAAUUCGUUAUGUAAAGCUCUAUCAGCAGGGAAGAUAGUGACGGUACCUGACGAAGAAGCUCCGGCUAAAUACGUGCCAGCCGCCGCCGUAA
RNAcentral lists this ribosomal RNA (497 nucleotides) under uncultured bacterium. RNAcentral describes it as "partial 16S ribosomal RNA". It matches the Rfam family "Bacterial small subunit ribosomal RNA", at positions 28 to 523 of the family's 1533-position model. The record is from RNAcentral.